CCCAAGCAACCCAAAGGGCCAGUCUCACUCCCACCAUGCCCACCCCCACAACAGCACCAAGUCUGUUUCCAGGUAGUGGGCAAACAGGAAGUUACCCCAGGCUACCCACCUCCCAGCUGCAAAACCCUUGAACCUGCUUGCCUCAGUAACCAUGGCAAGUCCAGAUGGCUGCCUUAGGAUCAGAUGUAAACCUUGGAGAAACCAGCUGUGGCCAGUAUGUCAAGUUUAAGCAGACAAAUGAAGGUGACCUGUGGUGGGAAUACACAUUUUGAAACUGAAAAGAGAUGGUAUGUGGGGAUGUACGGAGAACUUGUUGGAGUCUCUGUUGUGGACAACGCUUUAUGUGGUUUCAAGCUUCACAUACAAAAAAAAAGAAGGAAAGUGGCAGCACCCAAAAAAGAUCAAAACAAGGCAAGGAUCUCUGCUCUCGACCCAUCUAUUCAAUAUUGAACUAGAGGUCCCAGAUGGUGCAAUAAGGGACAUGGAUGAAGCUGGAAACCAUCAUUCUCAGCAAAC
This 516-nucleotide long non-coding RNA is filed under the name Homo sapiens (human). RNAcentral's name for it is "HSALNT0329475". The record is from RNAcentral. Lineage: Eukaryota; Metazoa; Chordata; Mammalia; Primates; Hominidae.